RNAcentral lists this ribosomal RNA (104 nucleotides) under uncultured Pyramimonadales. RNAcentral describes it as "partial Bacterial large subunit ribosomal RNA". Lineage: Eukaryota; Viridiplantae; Chlorophyta; Pyramimonadophyceae; Pyramimonadales. The record is from RNAcentral.
UGCCUGUCUAUUGAGGGUUAGUGAGGAGCUAUGUCGAGGCCAAAAGGUGUCGUGAAUGGAAAACAGGUUCAUAUUUCUGCUUGACAAAAGUGAGCUUGGAAAAA